UUGUUUCUCCUUAAUCUCUGGACCAAGAGACGAUCGAACCACUUCUCAUACCACCAUACCACCAUCCUUAGAAUCUAAGAGGCAACCUCAAAGAUUAGCCAAGCAGUGAAUAUCCUUCACUAAUUCCCGCUUCUCUUCCUCUACGUGAGCCAAACUCCCCAUAGAUAACCUUCUAAGAGCAUCAGUAACCACAUUAGUAUUACCUAGG
RNAcentral lists this long non-coding RNA (208 nucleotides) under Capsicum annuum. RNAcentral describes it as "long non-coding RNA (CANN_LNC017074)". The record is from RNAcentral. Lineage: Eukaryota; Viridiplantae; Streptophyta; Magnoliopsida; Solanales; Solanaceae.